Molecule: long non-coding RNA, 1091 nt
Organism: Acanthopagrus latus (yellowfin seabream)
Lineage: Eukaryota; Metazoa; Chordata; Actinopteri; Spariformes; Sparidae
Exons: 5
Source: RefSeq, a predicted model, not a curated record
UCUACUGUGUCCAGCGGUGGACUGGCCAUCUGGCAUGCCGGGCAUCAUCCCGGUGGGCUGUUAAACCAGUGUGGGCCGGUCCGGCCUGAUAUGGUUUUUUUUGUUUGUUUGUUUGUUUUUCUUCUCUAAAUUCCCUCCAAUUGGCAGCCAAUUGGCUACAGAGGGCUAGCAGUGUGUUACCAGCAUUGCCACAUGUAAUUGGUCUAUUGUUUGUCAAUGCCAGUAAAUCAUGGGCUGACAGGCUCAGAGAGCCCUGACAGUGCUGUCAAUCACUACACGAAGCAAGGUGGGGCCGGGUUGGGACCUUGAUGGGCGGACGGGACAGGCUGCUGCUGAACCAGUAGUAACUUUAGUUGAUAUGAUAUAUUUGAGGAGUUGUUCUCCCUCUGUUCUAUAUGUGGACCUGUUCUCUCAUUGGGGACCACUGUUAGAAUUUGACCACUUGACACUGAGGAGUUGUUCCCCCUCCGUCCAUGUUCGAGGACUUGCUCUCUCUCUCUGCCUCCAUUCUCUGCCUUUACUGCACCAAAGUUUGGCUGUUGACUCUCCUGUAGUAUGAGACAUCCUGACCUGCUAGAAGUUCUUCUAUGGUGCUUGCGUCAUCCAUCAUAUCUGAGACCUUCAUCUUGACUUUAGGUAGCACCCACCCUGAAUUUGGUUCUGGGUUCUUCCCUUUAGUCUCGUCCCACCCCUUCUGUGGUGAUUUGACACUAUAAUGAAUAAAGAUUGAUUGGUUGAUUGCUAUAGCUGUAAAUUUUAAUCCUUGACUCUCCUUUGUAAUGUGUGAGAGAAGACACUGCAAAAUUUGCUGACUUCUACGUGGUGUCCGCUGAUAAUGUAGUGGGCUGGUCUGGACAGAAAAUGCCAGGGCUGAAUUUUUGUCCCAGUCCACCCCUGACUGUGUCUCACAAGAAUGUCCUCACACUGGGAUAAUAUUACAUAUAACUGGCUAAUAUGUUUCAAUAACUAAUUAGCUGAAUAAUUCACAGUUUUGGGUAGGUGAGAGUGAUUUGCGUCCCUACGAGGUUUGCUUGUUAGCUUGCAUGGUAGACUUUCAUCUGUGUUAUCUGAAAUAAAUGUUGUUGUUUUUU